RNAcentral lists this ribosomal RNA (431 nucleotides) under uncultured bacterium. RNAcentral's name for it is "partial 16S ribosomal RNA". It matches the Rfam family "Bacterial small subunit ribosomal RNA", at positions 29 to 507 of the family's 1533-position model. The record is from RNAcentral.
AACGAACGCUGGCGGCAGGCUUAACACAUGCAAGUCGAGCGCCCCGCAAGGGGAGCGGCCGACGGGUGAGUAACGCGUGGGAACGUACCUUUUGGUUCGGAACAACUCCAGGAAACUGGAGCUAAUACCGGAUAAGCCCUAACGGGGAAAGAUUUAUCGCCGAAAGAUCGGCCCGCGUCUGAUUAGCUAGUUGGUGAGGUAACGGCUCACCAAGGCGACGAUCAGUAGCUGGUCUGAGAGGAUGAUCAGCCACACUGGGACUGAGACACGGCCCAGACUCCUACGGGAGGCAGCAGUGGGGAAUAUUGGACAAUGGGCGCAAGCCUGAUCCAGCCAUGCCGCGUGAGUGAUGAAGGCCUUAGGGUUGUAAAGCUCUUUUGUCCGGGAAGAUAAUGACUGUACCGGAAGAAUAAGCCCCGGCUAACUUCGUG